UACGAAGGGGGCUAGCGUUGCUCGGAAUCACUGGGCGUAAAGGGUGCGUAGGCGGGUCUUUAAGUCAGGGGUGAAAUCCUGGAGCUCAACUCCAGAACUGCCUUCGAUACUGAAGAUCUUGAGUUCGGGGGAGGUGAGUGGAACUGCGAGUGUAGAGGUGAAAUUCGUAGAUAUUGGGAAGAACACCAGUGGCGAAGGCGGCUCACUGGCUCGUAACUGACGCUCAGGCGCGACAGCGUGGGGAUCAAACAGG
RNAcentral lists this ribosomal RNA (253 nucleotides) under uncultured bacterium. RNAcentral describes it as "partial 16S ribosomal RNA". It matches the Rfam family "Bacterial small subunit ribosomal RNA", at positions 524 to 776 of the family's 1533-position model. The record is from RNAcentral.